This 497-nucleotide ribosomal RNA is filed under the name uncultured bacterium. RNAcentral's name for it is "partial 16S ribosomal RNA". It matches the Rfam family "Bacterial small subunit ribosomal RNA", at positions 28 to 507 of the family's 1533-position model. The record is from RNAcentral.
GAUGAACGCUGGCGGCGUGCCUAAUACAUGCAAGUCGAGCGAACGGACGAGAAGCUUGCUUCUCUGAUGUUAGCGGCAGACGGGUGAGUAACACGUGGAUAACCUACCUAUAAGACUGGGAUAACUUCGGGAAACCGGAGCUAAUGCCGGAUAAUAUUUUGAACCGCAUGGUUCAAAAGUGAAAGACGGUCUUGCUGUCACUUAUAGAUGGAUCCGCGCUGCAUUAGCUAGUUGGUAAGGUAACGGCUUACCAAGGCAACGAUGCAUAGCCGACCUGAGAGGGUGAUCGGCCACACUGGAACUGAGACACGGUCCAGACUCCUACGGGAGGCAGCAGUAGGGAAUCUUCCGCAAUGGGCGAAAGCCUGACGGAGCAACGCCGCGUGAGUGAUGAAGGUCUUCGGAUCGUAAAACUCUGUUAUUAGGGAAGAACAUAUGUGUAAGUAACUGUGCACAUCUUGACGGUACCUAAUCAGAAAGCCACGGCUAACUACGUG